AGCGAACGCUGGCGGCAGGCUUAACACAUGCAAGUCGAACGAGCUCUUCGGAGCUAGUGGCAGACGGGUGAGUAACGCGUGGGAACGUGCCUUUCGGUUCGGGAUAACUCAGGGAAACUUGAAUUAAUACCGGAUACGCCCUUCGGGGGAAAGAUUUAUCGCCGAAAGAUCGGCCCGCGUCUGAUUAGCUAGUUGGUGAGGUAAGAGCUCACCAAGGCGACGAUCAGUAGCUGGUCUGAGAGGAUGAUCAGCCACACUGGGACUGAGACACGGUCCAGACUCCUACGGGAGGCAGCAGUGGGGAAUUUUGGACAAUGGGCGCAAGCCUGAUCCAGCCAUUCCGCGUGCAGGAUGAAGGCCUUCGGGUUGUAAACUGCUUUUGUACGGAACGAAACGGUCUGCCCUAAUACGGCGGGCUAAUGACGGUACCGUAAGAAUAAGCACCGGCUAACUACGUG
This 458-nucleotide ribosomal RNA is filed under the name uncultured bacterium. RNAcentral's name for it is "bacterial SSU rRNA". It matches the Rfam family "Bacterial small subunit ribosomal RNA", at positions 29 to 507 of the family's 1533-position model. The record is from RNAcentral.